Long non-coding RNA from Bos taurus (domestic cattle), 1099 nucleotides. Lineage: Eukaryota; Metazoa; Chordata; Mammalia; Artiodactyla; Bovidae. The record is from Ensembl.
CUUGUGGGGAGAGUGAAAGUCCCUCGAUCAUGUCCAACUCUUUGCGACCCCAUAUACAGUCCAUGGGAAUUCUCCAGGCCAGAGUACUGGAGUGGGCAGCCUUUCCCUUCUCCAGCAGAUCUUCCUGACCCAGGAAUUGAGCCGGGGUCUCCUGCAUUGCUGGCGGAUUCUUUGCCAACUGAGCUAUCAGGGAAGCUGUGGGGAGGGGGGCAGCCCCAAACAUUGCCCAUCCAGUGGAGUGCUAAGACAAACAUCCCCAGCCUAUCCAACUCUACCUUCAGCAGCAAGACCAUUCAAGACCCACCAAGAGGAGUGAGGGGUCUUAUUCUGCCUACAUAAUUGAUCAUAUUAGCUCAUUCUGGUGGUGGCACUAAUCGGUCAGAGGAUUAAAAGGCCGCGGGUGCAGCUGGGGUAAGAGGGAAGGUGAGGCGGUGGGUCCUGACAGCAGAGAUGAAGGUUGUGGGGCCCAGGAAGAAAUGCAAAUGAAGGCCCUUGUACCAUACACUCUAGCGCCAAGGUCCUCUGCAUCUCGGGCAGACUUGUACCUGGGGCUUCCCGAUGACGGGCAAGCGGCCCAGGUAGGAGGGUCCCGGCGGAGUGGCCCCACUGCAGGGCCGGGGAGGGCCUGACGGGGUUCGUGGCCUGUUCGGCGGGUGCAUCCGAGGUCGUGAGGAGCGGCUGGACCGCCCUGCGACAGCGCAGGGUCGCAAGGUACCGGGUCCCCGGGCGGUGGCUGCAAAGGGGCAGCAGGAAGACGACGAGGUGGGAAGGGCGCCUCCAGCCCAGCGAUUCUAAGCGAGCGGCCAGGUCUGAAGGCUCGCGGCGGCCCCAUCGCCCGGGGCGGGAGGCCCCUGACCAGCCGGCAGCCAGACCCAGCGCUCUCCGUCCGGAAACGCGCGCCCAGCCCCCGAGACGGGUCCUUCGACUCCCACUGAGUCACCUGGACUCAGGCGAGGGCCCCGGCCCAAGGUCACAGGGCCAACGGUGGAGGAAGCGGAUUCGAAUCGGGCCAAGGUCACAGAGCCGUUCCCGGCGGGUCAGAACGCGGGCUCGCCUACCCGACGCCAUCCCGGGGGCCGAACCCGGCUGCGGACCCGCG